Molecule: ribosomal RNA, 280 nt
Filed under: Mediterraneibacter faecis JCM 15917
Lineage: Bacteria; Bacillati; Bacillota; Clostridia; Lachnospirales; Lachnospiraceae
Description: [Ruminococcus] faecis JCM 15917 partial 16S ribosomal RNA
Rfam family: Bacterial small subunit ribosomal RNA
Source: RNAcentral
UAUGGUAAUGGUCAGCCGCCGCGGUAAUACGUAUGGUGCAAGCGUUAUCCGGAUUUACUGGGUGUAAAGGGAGCGUAGACGGAGUGGCAAGUCUGAUGUGAAAACCCGGGGCUCAACCCCGGGACUGCAUUGGAAACUGUCAAUCUAGAGUACCGGAGAGGUAAGCGGAAUUCCUAGUGUAGCGGUGAAAUGCGUAGAUAUUAGGAGGAACACCAGUGGCGAAGGCGGCUUACUGGACGGUAACUGACGUUGAGGCUCGAAAGCGUGGGGAGCAAACAGG